CGUUUUUAAAUGAAAACAAAGAAAACAUUGACAGUAAUGAUGUAUCACGGCUUAGUCUGGUGUUUGAAGGAAAUCGGAAUCAUCUUGACAACUAGUACAAAGGGUUUUAUUUAUAGUCCUAGAAUAAUAAAUAUCUUACACAAUUGUA
This is a long non-coding RNA of Colias croceus (clouded yellow), 148 nucleotides long. RefSeq lists it as uncharacterized. The transcript has 2 exons. Lineage: Eukaryota; Metazoa; Arthropoda; Insecta; Lepidoptera; Pieridae. The record is from RefSeq and is a predicted model, not a curated record.